CCUACGGGUGGCUGCAGUGGGGAAUAUUGGACAAUGGGCGAAAGCCUGAUCCAGCCAUGCCGCGUGUGUGAAGAAGGCCUUCGGGUUGUAAAGCACUUUCAGUGGGGAAGAAAGCCUUGGGGCUAAUACCCUCGAGGAAGGACAUCACCCACAGAAGAAGCACCGGCUAACUCCGUGCCAGCAGCCGCGGUAAUACGGAGGGUGCGAGCGUUAAUCGGAAUUACUGGGCGUAAAGCGCGCGUAGGCGGUCUGAUAAGCCGGUUGUGAAAGCCCCGGGCUCAACCUGGGAACGGCAUCCGGAACUGUCAGGCUAGAGUGCAGGAGAGGAAGGUAGAAUUACCGGUGUAGCGGUGAAAUGCGUAGAGAUCGGGAGGAAUACCAGUGGCGAAGGCGGCCUUCUGGACUGACACUGACGCUGAGGUGCGAAAGCGUGGGUAGCAAACAGGAUUAGAUACCGAGUAGUC
Molecule: ribosomal RNA, 464 nt
Filed under: Vreelandella stevensii
Lineage: Bacteria; Pseudomonadati; Pseudomonadota; Gammaproteobacteria; Oceanospirillales; Halomonadaceae
Description: partial 16S ribosomal RNA
Rfam family: Bacterial small subunit ribosomal RNA
Source: RNAcentral